CUUCUCAAAUUGUCCAUUUUUGUGUAUAAUCUGAGCGCGAAUUAGGUAAAAAUUAUUGCAAUCUGCAAUUACAGUAGAUGCGAUGUUAUCAAAGGAGAUUAUCUUCGAGUGUCGUAUAAAGUGUGUUGCACUUGUCUCAGAUUGCUUUAUCCGUCAAAAAACCGGUUCUUCUUUUGUAGAAAAUCACCAUUUUCACUAUACUAACUUGGCACUAAUUUGACACUAAUUUUAUCAAUUUAACUCUAGUUCUUCCAUUUUAACUGUAUUUUGGCUAAAGGGAUCAAAAGACUCCUUUUGAACUAUUUAAUUUAACGUUUCCUUUCCGCAGUGGUCAAAAGACCGAUUUUAAAAUUUUUAAUGUGGCACGAUAUUUACUAAAGAGAUCGAAAGGCUCUUUUUAAAAUCUUAAUUUAAAAUUAUUUACUAUAUUAGAUCGCGGGGUUCUGUGCAUUUAAGCUAUAUGCGAAAAUUGUAACGUGUGCAAGAGUGCAUUUAUAUGCAAAUAAUAAAUCGCAAGCCAGUUGUGUGCCAGAGAUAAAACUAUAUUUAAUAAGACUGAACAGAGCAGAAUGGAAACAUUUACGUCUUUAAAUAUCGUUUGAUAAGCUCGUUAUACAGUGUUGAAAUAAAUAUUCAGUUUCAUUGACGUCUAAAACGGCGACUAUGAAACUAGUGACGUGUCUGUCGGACGUCAUUCUUGUAUGUUAUUGCGUAGUGUCGUGUCCUAUACAAUUAAUAUUACAAUCGACGAGGGAGAUUUUCCUGUCGAAUUAAUGUGUUCGAUGAGUAAACUGUGUGAGUGGAAAAUUGCUUGAUGAUUCGCAGUCCUACUUAUCAUAAUACUUGUAACUAGACUGCUGGACUUAAUGCACGUUACUUUUGUGCGUUAAAAGUCGAAUCAGCUAUAAUCCAACCUUUAUCCCUUUGGUAGUUAUAAAAAGUGCUGGAUCAUUCUACUAUGCGGGAAAACGUUUGACAAUUUGGAUAAUUGAAUAAAUUUUAAUAUUAAAUCUCUUAUUCAACGACCCAUUUAUGGCAAAAAUGGAUAGGUGAAAUGCAGAGAAAUGGGGAAGAUAUUAGAUUAUUGGAAAUAUUAAAAAAAAGGAAGUACAUUUUUAUUUAACUGUCGCACUGUA
Non-coding RNA from Megalopta genalis, 1136 nucleotides. NCBI's taxonomy places the organism in Eukaryota, Metazoa, Arthropoda, Insecta, Hymenoptera, Halictidae. The record is from RefSeq and is a predicted model, not a curated record.